AUUGAACGCUGGCGGCAUGCCUUACACAUGCAAGUCGAACGGCAGCACGGGGCAACCUGGUGGCGAGUGGCGAACGGGUGAGUAAUGCAUCGGAACGUGCCAUUGAGUGGGGGAUAACGUAGCGAAAGUUGCGCUAAUACCGCAUAUUCUGUGAGCAGGAAAGCAGGGGGACCGCAAGGCCUUGCGUUCUGGGAGCGGCCGAUGUCGGAUUAGCUAGUUGGUGGGGUAAAAGCCUACCAAGGCGACGAUCCGUAGCGGGUCUGAGAGGAUGAUCCGCCACACUGGGACUGAGACACGGCCCAGACUCCUACGGGAGGCAGCAGUGGGGAAUUUUGGACAAUGGGCGGAAGCCUGAUCCAGCCAUGCCGCGUGAGUGAAGAAGGCCUUC
This 388-nucleotide ribosomal RNA is filed under the name uncultured bacterium. RNAcentral's name for it is "bacterial SSU rRNA". It matches the Rfam family "Bacterial small subunit ribosomal RNA", at positions 29 to 419 of the family's 1533-position model. The record is from RNAcentral.